CCCUGGGAGGAGCCUCCAGGGGCUGCUCUGCAGUUGGCGGAGGCUUGGAGACACCCCUUGGCCCAGGGAGGUCACAGGCCAGGUUAAGGUUGGUGACAGCUGGCAGCAGUGCCACCAGGUCUCUGCGUCUGUUGUCUUGUGGUGCUCCUUCUCUGCAUUCAUCUGUGUCCCAACCUCCCCACUUCAAGAGGACCAGUCAUAUCAGGUGUGAAGCGAAACAAGCUCCCUAUCCUGUGGUGUCUUGGAUUUCCUUUUCCGUGGGCCACCUGCCAUCUGUCCAUUGCACCACUCUUCUGGACGCAG
Manis javanica (Malayan pangolin) is the source of this 303-nucleotide non-coding RNA. The record is from RefSeq and is a predicted model, not a curated record. Lineage: Eukaryota; Metazoa; Chordata; Mammalia; Pholidota; Manidae.